RNAcentral lists this ribosomal RNA (505 nucleotides) under uncultured bacterium. Its description in RNAcentral is "partial 16S ribosomal RNA". It matches the Rfam family "Bacterial small subunit ribosomal RNA", at positions 28 to 507 of the family's 1533-position model. The record is from RNAcentral.
GACGAACGCUGGCGGCGUGCCUAGUACAUGCAAGUAGAACGCACAGUUUAUACCGUAGCUUGCUACACCAUAGACUGUGAGUUGCGAACGGGUGAGUAACGCGUAGGUAACCUGCCUGGUAGCGGGGGAUAACUAUUGGAAACGAUAGCUAAUACCGCAUAAUAUUGAUUAUUGCAUGAUAAUUGAUUGAAAGAUGCUAUUGCAUCACUACCAGAUGGACCUGCGUUGUAUUAGCUAGUAGGUGAGGUAACGGCUCACCUAGGCGACGAUACAUAGCCGACCUGAGAGGGUGAUCGGCCACACUGGGACUGAGACACGGCCCAGACUCCUACGGGAGGCAGCAGUAGGGAAUCUUCGGCAAUGGACGAAAGUCUGACCGAGCAACGCCGCGGGAGUGAAGAAGGUUGUCGGAUCGUAAAGCUCUGUUGUAAGAGAAGAACGGGUGUGAGAGUGGAAAGUUCACACUGUGACGGUAUCUUACCAGAAAGGGACGGCUAACUACGUG